Molecule: long non-coding RNA, 748 nt
Organism: Canis lupus familiaris (dog)
Lineage: Eukaryota; Metazoa; Chordata; Mammalia; Carnivora; Canidae
Exons: 3
Source: RefSeq, a predicted model, not a curated record
AAGCAUUCUAUUGAAAGGCUGGCCUCUUUUCUGUAGUGACACUCACAUAAAGGCUCUCUCCCAGCACACUCCCACUGCUUGGUGGACUGCACAGGAUGUGCCGCAAAAGGGUCUCUCGUGAGGGUUUGGCAUUCGGAGGACCAGGCCAGGGGACUCGGCGAGGCUGGGGCACGUCUUCUGGAUACAGAUCAGGUCGUGAAUAAUGCAGACAGCCAUGUGCGGUCUGCUCUGUGGAUGUGAAUAUGCUCAACUUCAUGGAUGGUGUCCAGAUGUCAUCUGUUAUGAGCACAGCUUCUCAGGGGGCAAAACAGAACUGCUGGAAAGUUACAGGACUUGCUCAGCAUCAUAGGACUGAACUCAAGGUACAGUCGUCGCGUGGAUUCGAGAGAUUCCAGCUUCACGGAACAAAUUAAAGAGCAAAAUCAGAAUCUGAAUGAUGGCAACUCUGAAGUCUGUUCUUACUGCAAUCUCCCACUCCCACAGUUUGUUUAUCUUCAAAUGGAUGUAGAACAGCAACUGUGACUAAGAUAUCUGGAUUCUAGAAAUUAGAGAAGUAGACGGUAAUUGAAUCCACUAAUACCCAAAACUAUCGAUAUAUUAAAACUGGAAAGGCAACAGUACUGGAUAUGGAAAGAGUCGAUCUUUGUACUUGGGUUGGCCUGGGUCUGAAGCAUGAUUCUUCCCAUUACUUGAUGUGUGAUCUUGUCAAGCAAUUACCUUUUCUCCAGUUUGGUUUCUCCACAUGAAA